This 869-nucleotide ribosomal RNA is filed under the name Hypomyces odoratus. Its description in RNAcentral is "partial large subunit ribosomal RNA". It matches the Rfam family "Eukaryotic large subunit ribosomal RNA", at positions 38 to 937 of the family's 3401-position model. Lineage: Eukaryota; Fungi; Ascomycota; Sordariomycetes; Hypocreales; Hypocreaceae. The record is from RNAcentral.
GCAUAUCAAUAAGCGGAGGAAAAGAAACCAACAGGGAUUGCCCCAGUAACGGCGAGUGAAGCGGCAACAGCUCAAAUUUGAAAUCUGGCCCCUCGGGCCCGAGUUGUAAUUUGUAGAGGAUGCUUUUGGCAAGGUGCCGCCCGAGUUCCCUGGAACGGGACGCCGCAGAGGGUGAGAGCCCCGUCUGGCUGGCCACCGAGCCUCUGUAAAGCUCCUUCGACGAGUCGAGUAGUUUGGGAAUGCUGCUCAAAAUGGGAGGUAUAUGUCUUCUAAAGCUAAAUAUUGGCCAGAGACCGAUAGCGCACAAGUAGAGUGAUCGAAAGAUGAAAAGCACUUUGAAAAGAGGGUUAAACAGUACGUGAAAUUGUUGAAAGGGAAGCGCUCAUGACCAGACUUGGGCUUGGCGAAUCAUCCGGCGUUCUCGCCGGUGCACUUCGCCUCGCCCAGGCCAGCAUCAGUUCGCGCCGGGGGACAAAAGCUUCGGGAAUGUGGCUCCUCCGGGAGUGUUAUAGCCCGUUGCAUAAUACCCUGGGGCGGACUGAGGUUCGCGCAUCUGCAAGGAUGCUGGCGUAAUGGUCAUCAGCGACCCGUCUUGAAACACGGACCAAGGAGUCGUCUUCGUAUGCGAGUGUUCGGGUGUCAAACCCCUACGCGUAAUGAAAGUGAACGCAGGUGAGAGCUUCGGCGCAUCAUCGACCGAUCCUGAUGUUCUCGGAUGGAUUUGAGUAAGAGCAUACGGGGCCGGACCCGAAAGAAGGUGAACUAUGCCUGUAUAGGGUGAAGCCAGAGGAAACUCUGGUGGAGGCUCGCAGCGGUUCUGACGUGCAAAUCGAUCGUCAAAUAUGGGCAUGGGGGCGAAAGACUAAUCG